AUGGACGACAUGGACAUUGGAGCUGUAUGUGAUGAGGGAUCUUCAGCCUCGGCAUUAUCAAGGACAACAACACCUGAACCCAGGGAAGAUGACUACCUGAUAGUAAUUCCUUAUGCCCACAUAUUUGACCUUAUGCUAAAAGCUUUGAAGUUAUCCCCUGCAAGUUACUAUCACAAGAUAUGUCCGGGCGGCAAGAAUCGUGGGACGGUUACUUUCAAUUCUUCCUUGCAAUUGCUUGAUGGUUUGCUUGUUCUGACCUCAAUAUCGGGUGCAAUUUUAGAUGGCUAUGAAGAUGCAGAAGCUAUCACAUCUAUUAGGUACAUGGAAAAUGCAUACGACAGAGAAAUGAGAGACUACCACUACACCCAUGUCAAGAGGCUAGAAAAUGAAGUCAAGCAUCUGGUCAGAUGGUUAGUAGCAGCGAACAAGACAAUCAAGAAGCUAUGCAAAGGGUGGUACUACGCCGUCAAAUAUAUGAGUUAG
This 483-nucleotide ribosomal RNA is filed under the name Triticum aestivum (bread wheat). RNAcentral describes it as "partial small subunit ribosomal RNA". Lineage: Eukaryota; Viridiplantae; Streptophyta; Magnoliopsida; Poales; Poaceae. The record is from RNAcentral.